RNAcentral lists this ribosomal RNA (442 nucleotides) under uncultured bacterium. Its description in RNAcentral is "partial 16S ribosomal RNA". It matches the Rfam family "Bacterial small subunit ribosomal RNA", at positions 338 to 795 of the family's 1533-position model. The record is from RNAcentral.
CCUACGGGAGGCAGCAGUGGGGAAUAUUGGGCAAUGGGCGCAAGCCUGACCCAGCAACGCCGCGUGCAGGAAGAAGGCUUUCGGGUUGUAAACUUCUUUUGACAGGGAAGAGUAGAAGACGGUACCUGUCGAAUAAGCCACGGCUAACUACGUGCCAGCAGCCGCGGUAAUACGUAGGUGGCAAGCGUUGUCCGGAUUUACUGGGUGUAAAGGGCGUGUAGCCGGGUUGACAAGUCAGAUGUGAAAUCCUGCGGCUUAACCGCAGAACUGCAUUUGAAACUGUUGAUCUUGAGUACUGGAGAGGCAGACGGAAUUCCUAGUGUAGCGGUGAAAUGCGUAGAUAUUAGGAGGAACACCAGUGGCGAAGGCAGUCUGCUGGACAGCAACUGACGGUGAGGCGCGAAAGCGUGGGGAGCAAACAGGAUUAGAUACCCUAGUAGUC